This 74-nucleotide transfer RNA is filed under the name Neurergus kaiseri (Luristan newt). Its description in RNAcentral is "tRNA-Leu". It matches the Rfam family "tRNA". Rfam says of the family: Transfer RNA (tRNA) molecules are approximately 80 nucleotides in length. Their secondary structure includes four short double-helical elements and three loops (D, anti-codon, and T loops). Further hydrogen bonds mediate the characteristic L-shaped molecular structure. tRNAs have two regions of fundamental functional importance: the anti-codon, which is responsible for specific mRNA codon recognition, and the 3' end, to which the tRNAs corresponding amino acid is attached (by aminoacyl-tRNA synthetases). tRNAs cope with the degeneracy of the genetic code in two manners: having more than one tRNA (with a specific anti-codon) for a particular amino acid; and 'wobble' base-pairing, i.e. permitting non-standard base-pairing at the 3rd anti-codon position. Lineage: Eukaryota; Metazoa; Chordata; Amphibia; Caudata; Salamandridae. The record is from RNAcentral.
GUUAAGAUGGCAGAGCCAGGUAAUUGCAAAAGAUCUAAGCCCUUUCAUCAGAGGUUCAACUCCUCUUCUUAACU